Molecule: ribosomal RNA, 483 nt
Filed under: uncultured bacterium
Lineage: Bacteria
Description: bacterial SSU rRNA
Rfam family: Bacterial small subunit ribosomal RNA
Source: RNAcentral
AUUGAACGCUGGCGGCAGGCCUAACACAUGCAAGUCGAGCGGUAACAGGAAAGAAGCUUGCUUCUUUUGCUGACGAGCGGCGGACGGGUGAGUAAUGCCUGGGAACAUGCCUUAGUGUGGGGGAUAACCAUUGGAAACGAUGGCUAAUACCGCAUAACGUCUACGGACCAAAGAGGGGGAUCUUCGGACCUCUCGCGCUAAGAUUGGCCCAGGUGGGAUUAGCUAGUAGGUGGGGUAAAGGCUCACCUAGGCGACGAUCCCUAGCUGGUCUGAGAGGAUGAUCAGCCACACUGGAACUGAGACACGGUCCAGACUCCUACGGAGGCAGCAGUGGGGAAUAUUGCACAAUGGGGGAAACCCUGAUGCAGCCAUGCCGCGUGUGUGAAGAAGGCCUUCGGGUUGUAAAGCACUUUCAGUUGUGAGGAAGGUUCAUGCGUUAAUAGCGUAUGGAUUUGACGUUUAGCAACAGAAGAAGCACCGGCU